RNAcentral lists this ribosomal RNA (490 nucleotides) under uncultured bacterium. Its description in RNAcentral is "partial 16S ribosomal RNA". It matches the Rfam family "Bacterial small subunit ribosomal RNA", at positions 29 to 507 of the family's 1533-position model. The record is from RNAcentral.
AAUGAACGCUGGCGGCAUGCCUUACACAUGCAAGUCGAACGGCAGCAUGACCUAGCUUGCUAGGUUGAUGGCGAGUGGCGAACGGGUGAGUAAUGCAUCGGAACGUGCCUUUUAGUGGGGGAUAACGUAGCGAAAGUUACGCUAAUACCGCAUAUUCUCUGAGGAGGAAAGCAGGGGACCUUCGGGCCUUGCGCUAGAAGAGCGGCCGAUGUCGGAUUAGCUAGUUGGUGAGGUAAAGGCUCACCAAGGCAACGAUCCGUAGCGGGUCUGAGAGGAUGAUCCGCCACACUGGGACUGAGACACGGCCCAGACUCCUACGGGAGGCAGCAGUGGGGAAUUUUGGACAAUGGGCGCAAGCCUGAUCCAGCCAUGCCGCGUGAGUGAAGAAGGCCUUCGGGUUGUAAAGCUCUUUCGGCUGGGAAGAAAUCGCACCCUCUAAUACAGGGUGUGGAUGACGGUACCAGCAUAAGAAGCACCGGCUAACUACGUA